This 305-nucleotide ribosomal RNA is filed under the name uncultured bacterium. RNAcentral describes it as "partial 16S ribosomal RNA". It matches the Rfam family "Bacterial small subunit ribosomal RNA", at positions 334 to 656 of the family's 1533-position model. The record is from RNAcentral.
AUUACCUACGGGGGGCAGCAGUGGGGGAUAUUGCACAAUGGGGGGAACCCUGAUGCAGCGACGGCGCGUGGGUGAAGAAGCGCCUCGGCGCGUAAAGCCCUGUCAGCAGGGAAGAAAGUGACGGUACCUGCAGAAGAAGCCCCGGCUAACUACGUGCCAGCAGCCGCGGUAAUACGUAGGGGGCAAGCGUUAUCCGGAUUUACUGGGUGUAAAGGGGGCGCAGACGGCGAAGCAAGCCAGGAGUGAAAGCCCGGGGCCCAGCCCCAGGACUGCUGUUGGAACCGCGGGGCUGGAGUGCAGGCGGG